UGGGUUUUUCAUUUGCGUUUCACAAAAGAGGUUUAAACCCCGAGGGGGUUUAAAUGCGUCAUAAAACGUCAUGAAACGUCAUAUUUUUUAGUCUGCUCUUAGAUGUGGUUUAAACCAUGGUUUAAUUUUACGAGCAUGCGCACUUGAGGAAUUUGUGAAAAAUCGCUGAAGUGAAGAAAACUUUUCUUGCGGUCCUGGACCUGUCAAGCGGUCUUCUUGAUUAGAAAUUCCUACCUUUCCCAAGACAUUGUGGGCUACGUGAUGCUAAAAAGCCAUCGAAAUCGUACAAGGAUGGGCCAUCUCGAGAUCAGUAUCGACUGUCAAAAGAAACCGUCACCAAUAUGCUGGAAGCCGAAAUGAAGAGGGACAUACAGAGGAUUGAUCAACUUCCUGUUUAUUUGCAGGUGUUGACAACUGUCCAUUUUUAUGCAGUGGGAUCAUUUUAAAAGAUGCAUGGUGAUGAGGCAGCAAUAUCGCAGUCAUCAAUGUGUCAGAAGCUAAAGCAAGAGGCAAUACAUGAAGAUUCCUACAACAAGAGAAGAAGUUGAAGCAACUCGAAGACAGUUCUAUCUAACUGUUAGAUUUCAAGGAGUGAAAGGUGCAAUUG
This is a long non-coding RNA of Lytechinus variegatus (green sea urchin), 607 nucleotides long. RefSeq lists it as uncharacterized. The record is from RefSeq and is a predicted model, not a curated record. The transcript has 3 exons. NCBI's taxonomy places the organism in Eukaryota, Metazoa, Echinodermata, Echinoidea, Temnopleuroida, Toxopneustidae.